RNAcentral lists this transfer RNA (72 nucleotides) under Odocoileus virginianus texanus. It matches the Rfam family "tRNA". From Rfam's summary of the family: Transfer RNA (tRNA) molecules are approximately 80 nucleotides in length. Their secondary structure includes four short double-helical elements and three loops (D, anti-codon, and T loops). Further hydrogen bonds mediate the characteristic L-shaped molecular structure. tRNAs have two regions of fundamental functional importance: the anti-codon, which is responsible for specific mRNA codon recognition, and the 3' end, to which the tRNAs corresponding amino acid is attached (by aminoacyl-tRNA synthetases). tRNAs cope with the degeneracy of the genetic code in two manners: having more than one tRNA (with a specific anti-codon) for a particular amino acid; and 'wobble' base-pairing, i.e. permitting non-standard base-pairing at the 3rd anti-codon position. The record is from Rfam by way of RNAcentral. RNAcentral also lists the same sequence under 6 other names. Lineage: Eukaryota; Metazoa; Chordata; Mammalia; Artiodactyla; Cervidae.
UCCCUUGUAGCUCAGUCGGUAAAGGAUCUGCCUGCAGUGCAGGAGACCUGGGUUCGAUCCCUGGGUUGGGAA